This 253-nucleotide ribosomal RNA is filed under the name uncultured bacterium. Its description in RNAcentral is "partial 16S ribosomal RNA". It matches the Rfam family "Bacterial small subunit ribosomal RNA", at positions 524 to 776 of the family's 1533-position model. The record is from RNAcentral.
UACGAAGGGGGCUAGCGUUGUUCGGAAUUACUGGGCGUAAAGCGCACGUAGGCGGAUUGUUAAGUUAGGGGUGAAAUCCCAGGGCUCAACCCUGGAACUGCCUUUAAUACUGGCAAUCUCGAGUCCGAGAGAGGUGAGUGGAAUUCCGAGUGUAGAGGUGAAAUUCGUAGAUAUUCGCAAGAACACCAGUGGCGAAGGCGGCUCACUGGCCCGAUACUGACGCUGAGGCACGAAAGCGUGGGGAGCAAACAGG